UCGAGAGUAUUGGAGAAAAGGUAGACGGAUUUAAACAAGGCGACGUCGU
This 49-nucleotide small RNA is filed under the name Arabidopsis thaliana (thale cress). RNAcentral describes it as "ATSL015780". Lineage: Eukaryota; Viridiplantae; Streptophyta; Magnoliopsida; Brassicales; Brassicaceae. The record is from RNAcentral.